This 72-nucleotide transfer RNA is filed under the name Capra hircus (goat). It matches the Rfam family "tRNA". Rfam says of the family: Transfer RNA (tRNA) molecules are approximately 80 nucleotides in length. Their secondary structure includes four short double-helical elements and three loops (D, anti-codon, and T loops). Further hydrogen bonds mediate the characteristic L-shaped molecular structure. tRNAs have two regions of fundamental functional importance: the anti-codon, which is responsible for specific mRNA codon recognition, and the 3' end, to which the tRNAs corresponding amino acid is attached (by aminoacyl-tRNA synthetases). tRNAs cope with the degeneracy of the genetic code in two manners: having more than one tRNA (with a specific anti-codon) for a particular amino acid; and 'wobble' base-pairing, i.e. permitting non-standard base-pairing at the 3rd anti-codon position. Lineage: Eukaryota; Metazoa; Chordata; Mammalia; Artiodactyla; Bovidae. RNAcentral also lists the same sequence under 1 other name. The record is from Rfam by way of RNAcentral.
UCCCUGUUGGCUCAGAUGGUAAAGAAUCUGCCUGCAAUGCAGGAGACCUAGGUUCAAUCCCUGGGUCAGGAA